This 79-nucleotide transfer RNA is filed under the name Thermoprotei archaeon. RNAcentral describes it as "tRNA-Val". It matches the Rfam family "tRNA". From Rfam's summary of the family: Transfer RNA (tRNA) molecules are approximately 80 nucleotides in length. Their secondary structure includes four short double-helical elements and three loops (D, anti-codon, and T loops). Further hydrogen bonds mediate the characteristic L-shaped molecular structure. tRNAs have two regions of fundamental functional importance: the anti-codon, which is responsible for specific mRNA codon recognition, and the 3' end, to which the tRNAs corresponding amino acid is attached (by aminoacyl-tRNA synthetases). tRNAs cope with the degeneracy of the genetic code in two manners: having more than one tRNA (with a specific anti-codon) for a particular amino acid; and 'wobble' base-pairing, i.e. permitting non-standard base-pairing at the 3rd anti-codon position. Lineage: Archaea; Thermoproteati; Thermoproteota; Thermoprotei. RNAcentral also lists the same sequence under 1 other name. The record is from RNAcentral.
GGGCCCGUCGUCUAGCCUGGUCUAGGAUGCCGGCCUUACGAGCCGGAGGUCCCGGGUUCGAAUCCCGGCGGGCCCACCA